UAGGGAAUCUUCGGCAAUGGGGGGAACCCUGACCGAGCAACGCCGCGUGAGUGAAGAAGGUUUUCGGAUCGUAAAGCUCUGUUGUUAAGGAAGAACGAGUGUGAGAAUGGAAAGUUCAUGCUGUGACGGUACUUAACCAGAAAGGGACGGCUAACUACGUGCCAGCAGCCGCGGUAAUACGUAGGUCCCGAGCGUUGUCCGGAUUUAUUGGGCGUAAAGCGAGCGCAGGCGGUUAGAUAAGUCUGAAGUUAAAGGCAGUGGCUCAACCAUUGUAGGCUUUGGAAACUGUUUAACUUGAGUGCAGAAGGGGAGAGUGGAAUUCAAUGUGUAGCGGUGAAAUGCGUAGAUAUAUGGAGGAACACCGGUGGCGAAAGCGGCUCUCUGGUCUGUAACUGACGCUGAGGCUCGAAAGCGUGGGGAGCGAACAGG
This 429-nucleotide ribosomal RNA is filed under the name Bacteroidota bacterium. Its description in RNAcentral is "Bacteroidetes bacterium partial 16S ribosomal RNA". It matches the Rfam family "Bacterial small subunit ribosomal RNA", at positions 355 to 776 of the family's 1533-position model. Lineage: Bacteria; Pseudomonadati; Bacteroidota. The record is from RNAcentral.